This is a long non-coding RNA of Amblyraja radiata (thorny skate), 694 nucleotides long. RefSeq lists it as uncharacterized. The record is from RefSeq and is a predicted model, not a curated record. The transcript has 2 exons. NCBI's taxonomy places the organism in Eukaryota, Metazoa, Chordata, Chondrichthyes, Rajiformes, Rajidae.
UGUAGCCAGGCUCCCUGAAUGAAUUGACACGGCGAUUGGAAAAUUACGACCAGAACCUUCAAUUUGGAGGCGAGAUUGCAGCAGAUUUGUCGUGUUUGUGUUCCAAGCCGCAGAGCGUGGUCUGCAGCAACAAAGAGAAGCAAGAAGCAGAAAAUGACCAGGAUUAUCAAACAACGGUGAGUCCCUGCUGCAUGUGACAAUGGAAAGAGAUCGCGGUGUCGUUGGGAUAGUGCCACCUAAACUUGGCGAAAUAGAUCCAGGAAAACCAUGGUGAGAAUGUCGUCGCGGCACCUGUUGCGGAGUAGCAGUACGUCGAGACGACGAUUAAAGCGCUGAGCUGCCCAUUUGUGCUCAGCCCACACCCUCCCUCUCUUACAUUCUGAAAUCCGGGGCCUACCGGGCUAUUUUUACUUGCAGCAAAUGUUUUUGCUUGAAACAGUGAAUUUGAACAUUUUUUCCCCUCAAGAGUAAUCAGCGAUGAAAUGAAGCUAGUCGUUUUAACAAAUCAUUCAAAAUUGUACACAUUCUAAAUACAAUAAACACAUUGAAUAUAUCUGCUCAAUUAUGAUUUAUAAGCCUGAUACCCUUACACAGCUGAAAGUACAAGCAAUAAAUGUAUCUUGAAUAUAGUCAGCAUGUGUAGCUAACGAUCAAAACUAAUUUGCCAGUCAAAUAAAAUGAUGAGUUGUCUGAA